CUCCUUACAAGGAUUCUGUACUCAGAAUCACAAUUCAAACAACUCAUUCGUCACAACACUUAUCUAAGUUCUCAAUAAAAUUAUUUUCAUACUAUUUAAGGAGAACCUCAACAGCUAUAGACCACUGUGCUAUUCUCCUGUUACCCCCGCUCGACCCAGUUACAAUCUUAUUACCUGAAAGGAAUUGUGAAACAAAAAGGGUAAGCACAACUAGCCCAGUAAAGAAUAUCAUGACUAAAAAUAAUUUACAUCAUCAAUAGCCUUCAUCAGUAAUAAAUCAGAGAUUUAGAACAUAUGGUAGAUGAUAAAACUUUUCAACCAUUGUUGCAGCGGAACGAGCAAUCCAUUAGAAGAGUCAAAUAGACCAUCAGAUCUAUUAUCUUCUCCAUGUUAAAAGUCCACCAAUAAUGUUUUAUCCCUGUAACAUCAAUCAAUAAUUCAUGUCCACAAUCAUAUGAAUAACUCAUAAUCAUAAUUGUGAUUCUAAAUUCCUCUUCGCACCCAGGACGAAGAUAAUUUUCAUCACCUAUCUUUACCUGAAACAUCAAAAAUUAUGGUUAUACUAAAUCACAAUUCAUGCUCAUAAUUAUACUAAUAAAUUCAUCUUUGCACUACGGUCAAAGAUAUUCAUUAACAAUUCAUCUUUACACUACAGGCCAAAGACAUACAACUGUAUUUUAGAAGAGUCAAGUAGAGCAUGAUAUCUACUAUCUUUUACGAAUUAAAAGUGUAUAAUCAAUAUUUUAUCGCUGAGACUNNNNNNNNNNNNNNNNNNNNNNNNNNNNNNNNNNNNNNNNNNNNNNNNNNNNNNNNNNNNNNNNNNNNNNNNNNNNNNNNNNNNNNNNNNNNNNNNNNNNNNNNNNNNNNNNNNNNNNNNNNNNNNNNNNNNNNNNNNNNNNNNNNNNNNNNNNNNNNNNNNNNNNNNNNNNNNNNNNNNNNNNNNNNNNNNNNNNNNNNNNNNNNNNNNNNNNNNNNNNNNNNNNNNNNNNNNNNNNNNNNNNNNNNNNNNNNNNNNNNNNNNNNNNNNNNNNNNNNNNNNNNNNNNNNNNNNNNNNNNNNNNNNNNNNNNNNNNNNNNNNNNNNNNNNNNNNNNNNNNNNNNNNNNNNNNNNNNNNNNNNNNNNNNNNNNNNNNNNNNNNNNNNNNNNNNNNNNNNNNNNNNNNNNNNNNNNNNNNNNNNNNNNNNNNNNNNNNNNNNNNNNNNNNNNNNNNNNNNNNNNNNNNNNNNNNAAGAGGUUGAGUUCAGCACCUGUGUUAUCUCUUCCGGAUGAUACAGGAAAUUUUGUGGUUUAUAGUGAUGCAUUGCAUAAAGGACUUGGUUGUGUACUUAUGCAGAACGGUAGAGUCAUUGCGUAUGCGUCACGACAAUUGAAAGAAUAUGAGAAGGGGUAUCCGACCCAUGACUUGGAGUUAGCUGCAGUGGUUUUUGCUUUGAAAAUCUGGAGGCACUAUCUCUAUGGGGAGAAGUGUGAAAUAUAUACAGACCACAAGAGUCUGAAAUAUAUUUUUACACAGAAAGACUUGAACAUGCGCCAAAGAAGGUGUUUGGAGUUAAUAAAGGACUACGAUUGUGAGAUUCUAUACCAUCCGGGUAAGGCAAAUGUGGUUGCCGACGCCUUAAAUAGAAAGGAUCGGGAGAAACUAAUGAUCUUUACCGAUCAGGCGGAGUUAAUUUCAGCAAUGGAAAAGCUGGAAUUGGAAGUGAAGUGUCCUAUGGAGAUUGAUGAGAAGCUGUUUCAGAUGCAAUCUGGUAUAACUCUACUAGAUAAAGUUAAGGAGGCUCAACUUCAGGAUGAUGAAUGUAAAACGGUUAAAAAGAAGAUAUCCAAAGGAACCGAAUCAAGAUUCAAGAUGGAUAGGGAAGGAAUACUGAGAUUUGAGAAUAGAAUUUGGGUACCGUCGGUACCAGAGAUUAAGGAAGAAAUUUUGAGCUAGGCUCAUAACUCACGAUAUUCGAUUCACCCUGGUAGUACCAAGAUGUACCAAGAUCUACGACAUUUCUGGUGGCCAAAUUUGAAACGAGAGGUUGCAGAAUGUGUGGCCAAGUGUUUGACAUGUCAGAAAGUGAAAGCAGAACAUCAGAGGCCGAGUGGGUUACUACAACCUUUAGAGAUUCCAGAAUGGAAAUGGGAACAUAUUACGAUGGAUUUCAUGGUUGGCCUACCGACAACUUAGAAAGGCUACAACGCAGUAUGGGUUAUUGUUGACCGAUUGACGAAAUCCACACACUUCCUUCCGAUCAAAAUCAGAUUCAACUUAGAUCAGUUGGAAAGGUUAUAUGUGAAAGAGAUUGUUUCGAGGCACGGAGUCCCGGUGUCAAUUGUCUCAGAUAAAGAUCCGCGUUUUACGUCGAACUUCUGAAAACAUCUACAGGAAUGCAUGGGUACAUAGUUGCGAAUGAGCACGACAUAUCACCCUCAGACAUAUGGACAGAGUGAAAGAAAAAUUCAGACAUUAGAAGACAUGUUAAGAGCUUGUAUAAUGGACUUUAAAGGAAAUUGGGAUGAUCAUCUACCGCUCGUAGAGUUCGGAUACAACAACAGUUAUCACGCUAGUAUUGGCAUGCCGCCUUAUGAAGCAUUAUACGGCAGAAAGUGCAGAACUCCACUAUACUGGGAUGAAGUUGGUGAAAGACAAUUACUAGGCCCGAAAUUGGAACAACAGACAACAGAAAUAGUCAAAGUGAUCCGGACAAGAUUGAUAGCAGCUCAAGAUAGACAGAAGAAAUACGCCGAUGCACACCGUAAAAAUGUCUCUCCCUAGAAGGGAAAGAUCAGGUUCGGAAAGAAAGGAAAAUUAAGCCCAAGAUUCAUUGGACCCUUUGAAGUUCUGCGAAGGGUCGGAGAAGUUUCUUAUGAGGUAGCCUUACCUCUAGCUCCAAAGAAUGUCCACAACGUUUUCUAUGUUUCAGUUUUACGACCCUACAAACCCGAUUACAAGGACGUGAUUGAAUAUGAACCCCUACAUUUUGACAAAGACUUAUCUUACGAAGAAAUUCCUGUUCAAAUUGUCGACCAAAAAGAGCAAGUUCUAAGAAAUAAAGUAAUACCUUCUGUUAAGAUAAUUUGGAGGAACCACAAUGCUAAAGAAGCAACGUGGGAACUCAAAGAGAAUAUGAUGAAGAAUUAUCCUCAUUUAUUUACUUAGAUUAUUAUAAGCGAUUCUGGGGACAGAAUCUUUGUAAGGGGGGAGAAUGUAACGAGACAAAUUGUUUGAGUUGUGAUUCUAAGGACAUAAUACUUUUAAGGGGGGAAAGAUGUGACAACCAAGACUUUGUAAUUUAAUUUAAUAUUUAUUGGAUUUAAUAAAUAUUUUUCAAUGAAUUAAUUAUUAGAUUAAAUAAUUAAUUGAUGAAAUUAUGGUAGAUUAAUUUAAUUAUAUGUGUUAUAUUUAUUAAAUUAAUGUGGAGAAUUUUAUUAUUUCGAAGUAUGUAAUUAUGUGAGCUUAUUGUAUUAAAAAAUAUAUUUAAUAAGCCUAAUAUUAUUUUAAUUAAUUUAAUAAUUAAUUAGAGAUUUAAUAAUUUGACAUUAUUAAUAAAUGAGAAAUUUAAUUAUGUGACUAUGUGAAUUAAGGAGAAAUUAUUAUAUGUUACUUGAAUUAAAUUAAACUAGAUAUUUGAUUUAUUAUUUAAUUGGGUGUGACAUUAUUAAACUAUAGUAUAGGAGAUUAAUUAAAAUAAUUAGAAGGUUUAUUCAUGUUUCAAGCCAAACGAGGCCUUAUGAGGAGUUGGGGGCAAUUAAACCACGUAUGGAUUAACUUACCUCAACUGUGCGCAUAAAUGACAAGUCUGUUUUGUUUUACGUAUUUUUCAUUAAGUGUUCAACCUGAGAGUCAGAGAGAUUUCAGAGAGAAUUCAGAGGAAUUGUGGGAGAAACUUUGUGAUUGAAGUAGUAUCUGAAAGAGAGAUUGUUAUCUUUACUCACUCUACGCUCUGGGUAAUUCUCUCCAACCCAAUUCUCAUUUUUACGUCAUUAAGCUUUCAUGAAAAUGGUUUCCAAUUUCUCUGUUAAAUCUCUGUAAUUGGAAAUUUUAUUAAUUUUGUGGAUGUAAAUGUGAUAAUAUGUUAGCAUAACAUGUUUUACCAUGUAUUAGAGGGUUCCAUAUCAUCAAUUUCAUAAUAUUAUAAUGUAUGUUGUUGUUUCAAAAAUUACAGAGUAUAGAAUAUAGCCAUAUGGCCCUUAUACGUAAAAUUAAUAUGUCAAAUAUAAAUUGUUUUGUAAAAUUCACACUUGUAUAUGAUUAUGCAUGCUAAAACGAAGAAAACAAAACUUGAAUGGAUGAAUUUGGUGUUAUAAUGAAUCCGUAGUGUUAAUUUUCAUAUUUUAUGUUCAAAACCUUCAAAAACAUCAAGAACAUUGAAAUUUACAUGUUUUAAUUCAGUAAUUAUGUGUUUUAACUUGUUAAAAUCAUGCUUGAGGGGUUGAGUAUUAGUUAUUUGUGUAUUACAAUGUUUGGGUAUGUCUAAAUUCGUGAAAAAAUAAGUUAAUUGGAGUUUUUUGGCCAUGUUCUGCAAUUUUCGCGAAUUGUAGAAUUGAAAUUGGAGUCUCGCGCCACGGCGCCAACUCCAUGCCUUAAGACUAGCGCCGCAGCGCCAUCGCACCGCAGCGCCAAAGACCCCACCGCAGCGCCAUCGCGCCGUAGUGCCAAGAAUAAGCCUAACAGUGGCGCCGCAGUGCCACUUAGCAGAAUGGUCCAGAAAUGUAUUUUUAAAUGCUCAAGUUUAGCAAUGUGUUAGUAACUUAAUCUAAUGAUCAUAAAAACAUGUUAGACAUAUAAUGAGGUGUUAAAAUAAAUUCUUAACAUGUCAAUAACACAUUUAUGUAUGAAUUGAAUGAUUAAAUGCAUAGUUAGCUUAUUAUUCAUGAUGUGUUAAUUGUGACAAUGAGUGUAGUAGUUUGACUAAGUAUAGUCAUAAUUCGAGUUAGACAAAAAGAAUAAACUUGUGAUGAUUAGUUACAUUAUAAUUGACUGGUAUUGUGAACGUAAAUGAUAUGUAGGAUUAAAUCAAGGAAUGAGUAUAAUUAACGUGUAAUCUACGCACGAGACAAGUUUCCUAACCCCACUCGUUAUCUUUAUAUGAGCUUAUAAGUUGUCUCUUUACAUCGAGCAAAUUCUCGUUAUUAUUGAUCAAGUACAUUUUAUUAUAUUAAAAUGUAUUAAUCUUUCAAAGUAUGAUUCUUCAAUACAAUAAUUAUUCUAUUGUAUACCUUUUGAGAUUGCUAUUCAAUUUUAAAUUAUCAGUUACUGUUGAACUUUGUUAGACUAGUGAACCCUUAAUGAUUCGACUAGUCCAUAGUUGAUGAGCGUUCUAAAUUUCAGAACCCUUGAUGAAUUAUCCAAACCAAACUUCCUUUGGUGCAGACCCUAAUGUCAAACUGAGAUGAACAACCCUGUAUAGGGGAUUACUUAUGCGUUAACGUUAAGAUAUUGUGCACAGUAUGGUACUAAGGGCUGAUCCCCCUAAGUACGAGAAGAAGAGUCCAUAGUCUUAUGACUGUUAAAGGUUUCAAGUAUAAACACUUGACAACCUAGGACAUAGUUCAAGGUCUUAUGACCCUCAGAAGUUCUUUUGUUUCUUGUUAUUCAUUCUUGAUUCAAAAGCUGAGUUUUUAUAUUUCAUAAUCCUUUAAUUUAAUCGCAGGUUAUUAUUUCAUUUGUUAUAUUGUUAUACUUGUGGGCAAUCGUGCUCACUCUUGCGUAAUAAUAACAUUGCAGUUAAAAACGAAAGAUCAGACGAGCCUUCCACUAGUAAAGGCAAGGGCAAGGUUAACAAAUGAAGAAGACUUGUUGUUAUUAUGUAUUUAUGUUCAGACUUGAAGUUAUUAAGACUUGUUAUUGUUUAUGAUUCCGCACAAAUGUUUAAGGUUAGAGUGACCUAGGAUUGUAUUUUUUUUUAUGCAGUUGAUGUAACCCCAUAAGGGGAGAUUUAUUUAUUAUUUCUAUCUAUUGCAUGGUUUGCAUUUAUUUAUGGGUAGAUAGAUAGAUGAUAUUUGUACAGUGAACACCAAAUCCUGUGAAAAUGGAAGUACCAGAUUUGGGGGUGUCACACGGUAAUUCACAUAGACAGGUUAUUCUAACAAAAUAAUAAAGAAUGGAAUAACAGCAGAAUUCACCAUGCAUGCGAUAGACCGCACAGACAGGUUAUUCCAACAGAAUAAUAAAGAAUGGAACCAGGUCAUGCGUAAUCCGCACAGACAGGAUAUUCCAACAAAAUAAUAAAGAAUGGAAUAACAACAGAAUUCACCAGGCAUACGAUAGAACGCACAGACAGGUUAUUCCAACAGAAUAAUAAAGAAUGGAAUAACAAAAGAAUUUCACCAUGUAUGCGGUACUUCGCAUAGACAGGUUAUUCCAACAUAAUAAUAAAGAAUGGAAUAACAACCCUUACGACUAUUGAAAGAAAAUAACUCUCUUCAUGAAUACGAAAGAAUAAUACCCCUUACUAUAAUAAUAAUAUCCCUUACCUCAGAAGAAGACUGGAUACUGGAAUAGUGAAGUAACAGACUUCUCUUCUUCUUUCACUUUAUAAUUUCUCUCUAUAAUAAUUGCUCUAUAGCUUUAGUGAAUUGGUGAAAAAUAACGAGGGAAUGAGCUUCUAUUUAUAGGAAAAUAUAGUUUCGAUAAUUGCACGUUUUGGGGCUCGAAAUAUUACAGUAUAAUACAUUCAUCUUUUCCUUUAUUUUUAAUUUAGUCAUGCAAGUAUUAUCAAACUUGCACCACAUCCCCUAAUAGUAAAUCAUGUGAAUCAAUAGUAAAUCAUGUGACUCAAUAGUUCUAAAUAUGUGAAAAGAUUAAUUAUAGUAUAGUACCUUCAACUAUACCUCCAGGUUUAACUUAGUCAUGCAAGUAUUAUCAAUCUUGCACCAACUCCCCUAAUAGUAAAUGAAUGUGAAUCAAUAGUACACACAUGUGAACAAAUAGUUAUAAUUCCGGUUAAUUACCCGAUUGGUCAAUAUAACCUCCAGACAUCAAUUAUUAUCGAAAUAAAUGUCGAUUUUCACUAACACUAAUAAUUCCAACACAAUGGAACAAUCAAUUUCAUCUUUAAUCAACACGAACUUAUUCAUAAUUAAUAUUAUAAUUCACAAUAUUUAACAACCAGGUCGUUCCCAGGAAAGAGGGGGUUUUCCGAUUAGGAUUUCUCCUUUUUGGCGCGCAAUUAGGUGACCAAACCUCUCCUUGACAGAACUUCUAGACAUUGUCAAUAUUGUAAAUAAUAAUAUGAAUAAAUUUGUCGUCUCAAUUAUUGAUUUAAUAAUAUAACAUAUUAUGCAGAUGAUACUAUGACAAUAAUUGAAUCAAUAAUAUUAGAGAUAUGAUGCAACAAUUACUGUAGCAAUAAUUGAGUAUAACUGAGUGACUUUUCACGUCGGCAUCAAUAAUCAAUACCGUGUGCUACUAUGCAACCACGCGUAUUACUAUACUUUUACUACCGGGUAGUUCAACAGUUUUAACGGUAACACUUUCGCCGUUAUAAAAAGAUAAUUCUGUCAUUUUCUUACUACGACAAUACAUCCGUUGUGGGGUCCACCAAUGAUUGUGCCGACGUAUGAAUAUUCCCUGUUAAAAUGAAUAUUCCCCGACCAAUCGAAUAUUAUAUAACAACUUGCUUACUUUGAAAAAAAUUCACAUAUCACCCUUAACUUUAACCUUUUAUCAAUUUGACCAUUUACUAAAUAGAAUAAUUAUAAGAAAAUUGAAUACUUUCAUUUCAUAAAAUUCGGGGUCUCACAUUCUCUAUACCAGCCCUAGCCUGGUUUGCCUCCCACCAAAAGUUGGCCUCCCCUUUCAUCAUGUAGGUAGCAAAAGCAACCUUUUGCCCCUCAUCAACGUUGGCAAUGACAAAUGCCUUCUCUAUCUCUUUUACCCAUGUUUGGGCUUCUAUGGGGUCCGUAGUUCUUUUGAACUCCGGCGGACCGACACUCUUAAAAUCCUUAAAACUAGUAGCUCGUACUACUGCAGGAAUUACGGGUAUAUUAGCCCCAUUUCUAUAAAAAGUGGCCGUUAAUAAGUUAACGAACUCUUGCAUCGGGUUAACCAAACCUCCUUCCGGUUGAUUAACAUUAGUAUCUUGAUUUUGUUGUCUUCUUCUUGGCGGCAUUUUGCUGUUAAGAUAAACAACACAUCACUAUUACUUUCUUCUUGUUAGUUAGUUAUUAUUCAUGAUUAAACAAUAGCUUCAACUCAUUACACAAUAUGUUCCAAAAAAGGCUUAUAUUGAUUUACUUCUUGUAGUAUAAUACUACAUCAUUCGUCAUUACACAGCCUAAGCUGAUUACAUUACUAUCCCCCAAUUGCUUUCCAAAAAUUGGAAUUUACAAAAGACUACCAUUUGAUAUACAAAAGAGGGUUUUACGUCACUACUAGAUACAUCAUAUUUACAUAUCUAACUCUACUCUAGCUAAUACUAGGUUACAUCUGCCGUAUGGCAUUCUCAAAAUACACAUUGGCAAGACUGGCUAUAACAUCUCGGCUGAUAGUAUGCCGAGUCUGCCCUGCUUCUAUCGGAUACCCAGCUACUUGCUACUGAAAAUCCGCAUGAGAACUCCUAUGUAUAUAGGAUAUCCUCCCAAUCUUUUGCUUCUUGGUCUUUAGCUCCUGCCUGAGCUCAAAGACCUCGUGUUUCAGCUCGUGGACCUUGUCCUUUGCCAACUCGCUCAUUUUGCUCCUCCUCCCACAUAGUCUCCAUACUUGUCUUAUCUUCCAAGACAACAUGAAGCUCCUCCUUCAGCUCCUUUACCUCCUUACAAUACUGGAUAUUUCUAUCCAAUAUUUUCAUAAACAGUGCUUUCAUUAACUCCCCUGGAGUCAUCUCUUCUUCAGGUGCUAUAGUGUUAAAAGACACCACCUCCACCUCUUCCUCAGACAUGCCAUCGAAUACAGACAUGAGGUCUAGGUUCUCCGAGUCUCCAAACUCAAUUAUCACCACCUCAGGCUCUUCUGCUAUAGGGUUUGGUAGGAUCUCUACUUGAUUUACAGACUCCUCACUUACUACAUGUAUAUCUCUAUACAUUUCAUUUUCUCUUGACAUCUACAACAAAACAAUUUAGUUUGAUUAGUACGCGUCAGUAGAAUAAUAAAAACACAUAUCAUAUAUAGUGCAUUUUUAGGUUUAAUUUCCAUCUUUUACUUCUUUGACUUUUCUUAAGGUUAUAACUUAAGGUUCUAAUUCCCCCCUUAAGUUUUAUAACCUAUUGCUUUGAUACCAACCUGUGACGCCCCCAAAUUCGGGUAUCUUCCAACCCGAUAUAUGGUGCUACACAGUACUACAGUUCACACAUACAUUCAAUUGAAAUGCCUCAAAAUAACGAAUAUGUCUUUUAUAUAUAUAUAUAUAUAUAUAUAUAUAUAUAUAUAUAUUCCAAACAAUAUUACAAUUCCCCAGGUUCUUAAUAACCAUUACAUUUGUUCUUAUCAUAAUAUCAAAUAAUAACAACAUUCGCCUAUACUAUUACAAAGGUAAUCUAUAGGUUUGCCUUAGCCUUCCCUUUAUCUUUAUCGGAUCCUUCGGUUCGUUCGGUCUUAGUUGCAUUCAUAUGGUUCAAGCAAGAGUGAGCAUAACUAGCUCAGUAAGUAUGACAAUUCCAUUUAAACAAUAUGCUUGAAACAUACCAAUGGUAUAUCUUCAAUAACUAAACAAUAGUUAUUCAGUACUAUCGAUAAUUCAAAAUAGCACUUCUCUUUUCUUAAAAUGUUUCACAAUGAACAUCAUUCAGUAAAACAUCAAUUCCGGUCUAAGACCUUGAGCAUUUCAUACUUUCUUUGAAAAGGACAACUCGACACUAAGUCCGUAAGUCUGGCAUUAUUUAUGAGCACGUCUAGGUGAUCAACCUAUGGUACUCUAUUUUGUACAACACUACUUUCUUUAAACGUAUGUACGUUUAAGUUUUGGCAACCUCACGUGCCGGUCGUUUGACGACAAAACAUUUGUUUAGCAUACUCAGUCUUCCUUUGAAAACCAUACCAAAAUAGUUUGGCAAAACUUUACAACAUUAACAAUAGUUCGAUAAAUUAUAAGAAAUCCAUAAAACAUCUUAAGUCUAGCCGAAGGAAUUGGUUUCGACUUCAUCAUACAUAAAUUCAUGUGUAAGAUACAUAAAUCACAAAGCUUGUCCAGAUUGAACAUAGAUUAGGGUUAGAACACUUGCCUUUAGAGUCUGUUACUGAUUAAGUACUUUUCCUUUGAGUCUUUAAGGUCUCUACAAUACAUGAUCACAUAACAUACCACAUUAGGUCAUAUAUAAUCAAGUAUGGUUACUACUAUAUCUUACCCUUCUUCUUAAUCUAAUUGUUCAUUAGAUUUGUUUAACAUUGGUUCCGGUUUGUCGUUAUGGUUUACAUUCACAUUCGAGUACUCUUUCUUUAACCUUUAGUUGUAUUACAUAAGGUUUAUAACAUCUUAAACAAUGUUACUUUAGGUUUAUUAAUGUAUUAAUUCUUUAUCAAUUAACCAAUUUCCUUUUUAUCUUUAGAAACCUUCUUCUCUAUUCAUUACCUAGUGUUGGCGCUGCGGCGUCAACUUCUGUUCUACAACUCGCGUUGCGGCGCGGGUUUCCAGUUGGGAUGCCUCAGUCUUGGCGAUGCAGCGCCACUCUCAAUACUAGAGUUUGUGUUGCGACGCCACAUUUCAAUAUGGGACAGUCCGGCCUCGCGCUGUUGCGCCGGCCACAGCUCUCUGGGUCGCGCCGCGGCGCGGACCCUGAGCCUCAGAAAAUUUUUGCAGUUCAUUUCUUCUGUGAACUUUUCGGGGCCAUAACUUAUUCGUUUUAAGUCCGAAUUGGCUCGUUUAAAAGCCAUUAGCUCACAAAUCACAUGCUCUAAGUGUUCAUGUAAGAAUUUUACAUUUUUGAAUCUUUUUACUCGGAAUUCACCGAUUAGGUCAUUUUAACAAAAACGAUAAACGUUCGUGAACGCUCAACGCUCGUUUCUUCGUUCUAAGUUCGAAUUUGACCAUUUUCGAGUCUGCAACUCUAAAAUGCAAACUUGGACUAUUCUCCAUCGAAAACUAACGUUUCCGAGUUCAAUGUCAAAAUUUGAUUUCCAUUCCGAGAAUUUCACGAUUUCGACGAUUAACGUCUAAUCUUGUAAAUUCCGCCAUAACUUCGUUACUUAAGAUUUUUUACAUCGUUUCAAAUGGAUUCAUUCCAUCAUACUAACAUCCUAACCAAACAUAUUUCAAUAACUUAUACACAUGAUAAGUUCUUACAUGUUCUUCAUGAAUUCAUAACUUAUAUAAGUAUGAAUUACUUAUUCAUGGCUUAUUAAGGUUUAAGUCACGACCCCAAAUUUUAUGAAUAAAGAUUUAAAUUUCUCGAAAUAUUAUUUUUUAAUAUUAUGGUGUGGAUUUAAGAUAAUGUUAUAGUUGUGGGUAGUAUUUAUAAAUUUUGCAAAGUAUGCAAGUUGUUAUAUAAUAUUCGAUUGGUCGGGAAAUAUUCUUUUUGUCGAAAAAUAUCCGUACGAUGGUACAAUUAUUAGUGGACCCCACAACGAAAUUAUUAUCGGAUUGAAAAAACGACAAAAAUAUUUUUAUAAAAAUAACGGCGAAAGUUUUACCGUUAAAACUGUUGAACUAUUCGGUAAUAAAAGUACAGUAAUACGCGUGGUUGCAUAGUAGCACACGGUAUUGAUUAUUGAUGCUUACGUGAGAAGUCACUUAGUUUUGUUAAAUUAUUGCUUCAGUAAUUGUUGCAUAGUAUCUCACGUUAUUUAAUUCAAUUAUUGUCCAUAUUUUAUAUAUUAUUAAAUCAAUAAUUGAGAUGACAGAGUUAUUAAUAUUAUUAUUUGCAAUAUUAACGAUGUCUAGAAGUUCUGCCAAGGAGAGGUUUGAUCACCUAAUUGCGCGCCAAUAGGGAGAAAUCCUUAUUGGAAAGCCCCCUCUUUCCUAGGAACGACCUGGUCGAUUAAUAUUGUGAAUUAUAAUAAUGAUGAUAAAUAUUAUUAAAUAUAUUUAGGUGUCUUUUUAUGAAGUCACGGAAGUUUAUAUAUAUAUAUAUAUAUAUAUAAAUUUUAUUUUAUUAGUAUUAUUAAUGUAAUAAAAUAGAAAAGCUUGUUAUAUAAAACAGAAUACUUUUAUAAAGUUAUUUAUUUUAUUAGACAAUAAUUAGAAUAUAUUAUAUUUUAUUAUGCAUAGUNNNNNNNNNNNNNNNNNNNNNNNNNNNNNNNNNNNNNNNNNNNNNNNNNNNNNNNNNNNNNNNNNNNNNNNNNNNNNNNNNNNNNNNNNNNNNNNNNNNNNNNNNNNNNNNNNNNNNNNNNNNNNNNNNNNNNNNNNNNNNNNNNNNNNNNNNNNNNNNNNNNNNNNNNNNNNNNNNNNNGUCCAUUCUCCUAUAAAUAGAAGCUCAUUCCUUCAUUAUUUCUUACGAAUUCACUGAAACUCUAGAGAGAGAAACUAUAGAGAGAAAGAAGAAAAGUAUUUUGCUACUUCACUACUCCUAUAUCCAGUUUGUUCUAAGGUAAGGGGUAUUAUUUCUUUCGUAUUCAUGAAGAGAACUUCUGUUAUUUCAUUCUUUAUUAUUUUGUUAGAAUAACCUGUAUACACGGGCUACCCUAUACUUGGUGAAAUUCUUCUGUUAUUCCAUUCUUUAUCAUUAUGUUGGAAUAACCUGUCUAUGCAAAGUACCGCAUACAUGGUGAAAUUCUAAUGUUAUUCCAUUCUUUAUCAUUAUGUUGGAAUAACCUGUUUAUGCGAAGUACCGCAUACAUGGUGAAAUUCUUCUGUUAUUCUAUUCUUUAUCAUUAUAUUGGAAUAAAUUGUCUAUGCGAAGAACCGCAUACAUGGUGAAAUUCUUCUGUUAUUCUAUUCUUUAUCAUUAUGUUGGAAAAACCUGUCUAUGCGAAGUACCGCAUACAUGGUAAAAUUCUUCUGUUAUUCUAUUCUUUAUUAUUCUGUUGGAACAUCCUGUCUAUGCGUUUACGCAUGACCUGGUUCUGUUAUUUAUUAUUCUGUUGGAAUAUCCUGUCAGUGCGUAUUACGCUUGACCUGAUUCCAUUAAUUAUUAUUCUGUUGGAAUAACCUGUCUAUGCGGUCUAUCGCAUGCAUGACGAUUUCUGUUGUUAUUCCAUUCUUUAUUAUUCUGUUAGAAUAACCUGUCUGUGCGGUCUAUCGCAUGCAUGAUGAUUUCUGUUGUUAUUCCAUUCUUUAUUAUUCUGUUAGAAUAUCAUGUCGGUGCGAAUUUCUCCUGACCUGGUUCUGUUAUUUAUUAUUCUGUUGGAAUAACCUGUCUGUGCGGUUUAUCGCAUGCCUGGUGAUUUCUUUUGUUAUUCCAUUCUUUAUUAAACUCAGUUGAUUAAAGUUUUGACUUCUAUACUCCAUGAAAUUAGUGGAAUAUCCUUGAUAUUUGUGCUUCAUCCAGUAUCUUUUCAUGGAAAUAUUCUUCUGAGCAUUCUUGAAUUUUACUCUAUAAAGAAGUAUCAUGUUAACAAUUUGGACGUUAUUAGUUCCUGGAUAAAUUAAUUCUUGAACUUGUUUUAUCGAAUUCUUAUAUCAUUGUCAUCAUCCUCAUGUUUAUAUUAUGUUGAAAGUCAUCUGUGGCCUGUAGUGCAUAGAUGGACUUGGUAUGAUUAUGACCAGGGAUUAUUCGGUAUAAUCAUGACCGUAAUGUUACAAAUGAUGUGGUAAAAGUCCUCAUUGGCCCGUAGUGCAUUGAUGGACAGUUGUUGGCAUGAUCAUGACCAUUGAUGAAUACACGAAUAUCUUUGGCCCGUAGUGCAUGGAUAAUUUAUGGUUGUGAUACUAAUGAAUAUCCUUGGCCGUAGUGCAGGGAUGAUGUGGAUUAUUUAUUAAACUGAGUCACAGCGAUAAAAGUGAUAAAAAACAUUUUAAAUCAUAAAAGAUAGUAGAUUUUAUUCUGUUCUUGACUCUUUUAAUGGAUUGUUUGUUCCGCUGUAGUUAAACUUGAUGUUUGUUAUAUUGUAUCAGUUUAAUACUGUUGAAGGCUAACGAUAAUUUAUUCUGCAUUAUCUUAGUCAUAAUAUUUUUUACUGGGCUAGUUGAGCUCACCCUUUCUUUCACUGUUCUCUUCAGGAAAUGAGAACAUAGCCGGGACUAGUCGGGAAAUGGAGUAACGGUCCAGAUGAUAGCAUUAGUAGUCCUCACUAUUCUGUUAAAUAGUGUGACAAUAAAUGUAAUGAGGACUCCAUUGAGUGUGGAUAUUGUCUAGAUGACAAUAUUCUUAUUAAAACUCUUAGAUUAUGUUAUCUCGUAUUUUAUACGACUGUUGUAUAAUUAAGUUGUAUUUGUAUUCUGUACCAUGUAUUUGGCGACUCAGAAUAGGUGAUGUAUACCUAUUUUGGGGGCAUCACAAUUAAUUAGCCAUUCUUAUUACUUCUUAGCAUACAUGCUCCACUAAUCAACACUUCUCUAUCAAACUAUAAUUGAAGAGAUGGAAGAUUAAUUAUCUAGAAUCUUACCCUUGAAGAUCAAACCUUGUUCUUCUUCUUGCUUCUUGAAUUAAUAAAGACUAACUUUUCUUACUUUUUCUCUCUAACAAAUAAGUUAUAAGUUGUUGGUGGAAAAUUUAAUAAGUGAAUAAUGAAAAUCCAAAGCUUCUAUUUAUAGAAAAUCCUAGUUGAGGGUAUAGUGGACUUUUAGGCCAUCCACCUCCUUAACUCCACCUCCAUAUUAUUCAUCUCUUGGUCACCAAGUAAAACCACUUUACUUGGUCACCAAGAUGAUGCCAUGUGAUCAUGGGGCCAACAUGGAUUUUCCCAUGGGUCAAUCUUACCCACCGGUUCAAUCCACGGAUCCGGUUCUUACUUUGGGCUUUAGGUUUAUUUAACCUUAACUUAAUCUUUGGGCUUCCACUAACAAACAUUAGGCUUGUACAUUAAUUCCAAUUGGACUUAACCAUUCCUACACAAAUCCUACAAGUCCAAUACACUUGCUUAAUACCUUAUACCGUAUAAUCUACGUAUUAUUCUCGUAUAGUAACUCGUAUGCUUAUUCAUUAUAUACGACAUACCAUCAUUCAUACAUACUCGUAUAAUACCUCGUAUCAUACUCGUAUUCAUUACCUCAUACAAUACUUACUUAUCAUACGAUAUCGUCGUUUACUCCUUAACGCUUUACUUUUCCUAACGUUCUUAAAUUUAGUCCGCAGGUGAAAAAUUGCAUUUGUCAUACGUGAAUUAUUAUUACAUAAUCCAUCUUCCCUAGAUAUUCUAUCGUUACUUAUUUCUCGGAAGUCCAAAAAUAAUUCCCGAACAGAAAACAGUGAAUAAUAUUUUUUGGAAAAUUUCUCGGAAAACUUUUAUUUUUGUCUUGAAAAUUCAAACACUUUAAUUCUACCACGUAGUCAAAAUACUACGACAUUCCAAUAUACCUAGGUUAUAGAACAACAUUUAUCUUAUUAACACAUAAUAAUAACAUAUAAUAUUAUUUUAUUCAUUAUUUAAUUAAAUAAAAUUAUUUUACAAUAAAUUCGAAUUUCUCGGUCGUUACAAUCAUGACAUGUAAUGUUAUAUGUGGUAAAAGUCCUCAUUGGCCUGUAGGGCAUUGAUGGACAGUUGUUGGCAUGAUCAUGAUCAUUGGUGAUAAUAACGAAUAUCAUUGGCCCGUAGUGUAUGGAUAAUUCGUGGAUGUGAUACUGAUGAAUAUCCUUGGCUCGUAGUGCAUGGAUAAUUUAGUGAUGUUGAUUAUUUAUUGAGUUGUGUUAAAGAGAUAAAAUAUUAAUGAUGAACUUUUAAAUCAUAGAAAAUAAUAGAUAUCAUGCUCUACUUGACUGUUCUAAUGGAUUGUUUGUUCUGCUACUAUUAAACUUGUUUUCUAUUGUAUUCUAUCAGUUUAACACUGUUGAAGGCUAACGAUAAUUUAUUCUGCAUUAUCUUAGUCGUAAUAUUUUUUAUUGGGCUAGUUGAGCUCACCCUUUGCUUUCAUUGUUCUCUUCAGGAAAUGAGAAUAUAGUGGGACUAGUCAAGGAAUGGAGUGACGGUCCGAGAUGGUGGCUGUAGUAGUCCUCACUAUUUUAUAAAAUAGUAUGAUAAUAAUUGUAAUGAGGACUCCAUUUGAGUUUGGAUAUUGUCUACGAGACAAUAUUCGUGUUAAAACUCUCAGCUUAUGUUUUGUCGUAAUUUACAUGACAGUUGUAUAAUUAAGUUUGUAUUUAAAUUUUGUACCAUGUAUUUGGCGACUUAGAAGGGGUUGUGUAUACCUAUUUUGGGGGCGUCACAUUCACUUCUUUGAGUUGAGGACAUUCCAUCCCAAAAAGUAUUCUUUAAAAAUGUCGGCGCCCAACAACUUCUUUCAUCGUAUAACCCAGUCAAAUUCUCAAUGAAACUAACCCAUCGCUCUUCAAAUUCUUUAUAAGUCAAUGAAUCAUAAACUGCCUUUUGCAUUGAAUAAUUGAUAGAUUCAUAUUGAUUGCAACCACUUAAUUUCUCGGGCAACUUCUUCAUAAUAUGCCAUAAGCACCACCUAUGUCGCGCAUUUGGGAACACAAUUUCAAUAACCUUCUUCAUUGCUUUAUAUUGGUCAGUGAUUAUUGCGGUAGGAGCACGACCAUUCAUACACGCAAGCCAUGUUUUAAAAAGCCAACUAAAUGACUCAAUAUCCUCAUGAGAUAUUAAUCCACAACCUAAGAAUAUUGACUAACCGUGAUGCUUAACUCCAACAAAUGGGACAAAUGGCAUGUCAUACUUAUUAGUUAAGUAUGUUGUGUCAAAGGUAAUGGCAUCCCCAAACUCCUCAUAAGCUGCCCUACUCCUUGCAUCAACCCAAAAAACAUUUUGUAGUCUCCUAUCAUCAUUCAAAUCCAUCAAAUAAUAAAAAUUUGUAUUAUUAGCUUGCAUUUUUUGGAAGUAGUUUUGAAGUGCCAUAGCAUCCCCAUCACCAAGUUUUAAUCACCUAACUUUGUCAAGAUAAUUGUAAUAAUCUUUCUUUGAAAAGGACAUAUUCUCAUGCCCACCAGCUUCAACCAAGAAAGAAGUAAAAAUUUUAUUUGGUCUAAUACCAGCUCUAUCGUUAAGUUCAAGUCUCAUUUUUCACAUACUUGCUCAUAAUCCGAUUUUUUUAUAAAAUCUAGAUUUUCCCGGGCUCAACUGAUGAUUAUGAUCAAGUGUUAGAGUCUUUACUCGCACUUUUCUGUCUUCGACUACUGCAGCCCUAAUCUUAGCAUUGCAACCAAUUUUGUUAACAGGGCGUAAGUUGAAGGCUUCUUUGACUUGUUUAUUGAACAUCAUGACCGAGCACAUGCAAGAACCACAAAUUUAGUCUCCAUUUUCUCCUUUUUUCGUUGAUCUUAUUUUCACCGGAAAUCCAUUUUGAUUACCAUAAUUAGUGUAAUAUUCUAUGUUUAAAUCAACGGAACCAAACUCCAUUCCUACUUUCGGAUUUCUAAUAACUUCAUCAACUUCUUCACUUUCUACUAAAUUCUCCGCCAUAACACAUUCCUCAAUAUCAUUCAUUCUCAUACUUGAAUUAAACUCAUCACUACAUGCCAUUUCUGUAAAUUUAUAAAAAAUUAUUAACUACAUGCCAUAGAUAUAUAAUAAAAUGUAUGACAUUAAAUUAGUUUAUCAAAAAACAUAAAAGCAAGCCUUCAUAUUCAAUAUUAUUUAGAAUUUAUCAAUUAUGUCCAUGUGCGUGCAAUGCAAACCUUAGUAUUUUAAAAGAAAAAAAUCAACCAAAAAAGUAGGACUUUAUUAGCAUCCAGAUAAAUUUCUUAAGGAGCAUUGGAAAACAAGAUUCACGCAUAUUAAACAUCUGCUUCAUUAUAACUGUUUAUUUCCACCAAAACCCUUUACUUGACUCUACAUAUAUGCUUUGUUUGGAGCUCUGAAAAAUUCAAGGGAAAAGAAUGGUUGUAGAAAAUUAAUAAAAAAAAAGGUAUAAAAUAAAUAAAUAAAUCAACACUGAAUUUUCAAUAUCACAUUCAGUUGAUUUUUAUUCAUUCAUUACCAAAAAAAAUUUAUUUUCAAUACCACAUUUAGUUGGCACCCAAAUGAACAACAUUCACAAUAUAAAGUUACAUCACGAGAAAUAUGAGAAUCUGAGCUUAUUGAUAGCAUAAGAGAAAGAUUAAAUGGGUUUUGUGAAGCAAACAGGGAGAAGAAAAGCAUCAUUGAAAAAAUGGGUUUCAAAAUCUUUAAAUUAGUUUUAGGGCAUAAAUAUAUACAUAUAUAUUAUCAAUAUUCGUACAUCAUAUAUACAAUAUGUGUAUGCAUACCUCUCUUGCUGCUGAUUUUAUUGAAUUUUGCUUCUGAUUUUGGGCGAAAAUUUGUAGAUGGCGAUUUUGGUGAGAAAGGGAGAGAUAGUGUGAUAUUGGUCGCAACGGGAGAGAGAGUCUGAUAUUUGGUAAAGGGAGAGAGAGGUGAAGUCUGACUUUGGUGAAGUUGCUAUAUAUUGACCUU
RNAcentral lists this long non-coding RNA (18341 nucleotides) under Panax ginseng (ginseng). RNAcentral's name for it is "long non-coding RNA (PGIN_LNC004891)". The record is from RNAcentral. Lineage: Eukaryota; Viridiplantae; Streptophyta; Magnoliopsida; Apiales; Araliaceae.